GCUGGGGUGGCUGAGUAUGGUUAAAAGCGCAGGGCUUAAACUCCUGUCCGUAAAGGUUCGCAGGUUCAAAUCCUGCCCCCAGCA
RNAcentral lists this transfer RNA (84 nucleotides) under Maricaulis sp. RNAcentral's name for it is "tRNA-Leu". It matches the Rfam family "tRNA". Rfam says of the family: Transfer RNA (tRNA) molecules are approximately 80 nucleotides in length. Their secondary structure includes four short double-helical elements and three loops (D, anti-codon, and T loops). Further hydrogen bonds mediate the characteristic L-shaped molecular structure. tRNAs have two regions of fundamental functional importance: the anti-codon, which is responsible for specific mRNA codon recognition, and the 3' end, to which the tRNAs corresponding amino acid is attached (by aminoacyl-tRNA synthetases). tRNAs cope with the degeneracy of the genetic code in two manners: having more than one tRNA (with a specific anti-codon) for a particular amino acid; and 'wobble' base-pairing, i.e. permitting non-standard base-pairing at the 3rd anti-codon position. Lineage: Bacteria; Pseudomonadati; Pseudomonadota; Alphaproteobacteria; Maricaulales; Maricaulaceae. The record is from RNAcentral.